This 1051-nucleotide long non-coding RNA is filed under the name Callithrix jacchus (white-tufted-ear marmoset). RNAcentral's name for it is "lncRNA (ENSCJAG00000073275.1)". Lineage: Eukaryota; Metazoa; Chordata; Mammalia; Primates; Cebidae. The record is from RNAcentral.
GUGUGAAUCAUGGCAGUGCAGUGAAGGACGGUGAUUUACCGCUUUUGAGGGCAUGCAUGUAUAUGAUUAAGGGAUGGAGGUGAAGGACUCCAAGAUUUACUUCCUUCCCUUUCCAGCAGAGUUACCUGAGAGGAGUGAGUAAUGGGAUCAUUGGUAACACCACCGGCCCCUUUUCAAGAGACCAGUAAUCAAAACAGGAACACCAAACUGAGAAGAUUUCAGCUGGGAGAAUACAACUUUUGAUACUUUCUGGAUCUACCUCUUAGCACACAGGAGAGUCUUCAGAGUUUUCCUGUUUUAUUUUUUCAUGGAGAUUUUCGUUAAAAAGAUACUUCGGGUUUGACGUGACUAUCUUGGUGGUGGCAGUAGACUUCUCAUAUUAGAGAUAUGAUAAAAUGGUGAAAAGUUCCAAGCUCGUCCUCCUCUCCCAUCUAUGCCAGGGAAGAGGUUGAAGGCGGCUGCCUUGCAUCUUGUGAGACGCUGCCGUGUGAGAAGGCAGCAAGGAGGCCCACGUGUGAAGUGGAGACCCAGCCCCUACCUGACUCUGAAUCCGUCGGCUCCUUGUGUGAAGUGGAGACCCAGCCCCGACCUGACUCUGAAUCCAUCGGCUCCUUGUGUGAAGUGGAGACCCAGCCCCUACCUGACUCUGAAUCCGUCGGCUCCUUGUGUGAAGUGGAGACCCAGCCCCGACCUGACACUGAAUCCGUCGGCUCCUUGUGUGAAGUGGAGACCCAGCCCCGACCUGACACUGAAUCCGUCGGCUCCUUGUGUGAAGUGGAGACCCAGCCCCGACCUGACACUGAAUCCGUCGGCUCCUUGUGUGAAGUGGAGACCCAGCCCCGACCUGACACUGAAUCCGUCGGCUCCUUGUGUGAAGUGGAGACCCAGCCCCGACCUGACACUGAAUCCAUCGGCUCCUUGUGUGAAGUGGAGACCCAGCCCCUACCUGACUCUGAAUCCGUCGGCUCCUUGUGUGAAGUGGAGACCCAGCCCCUACCUGACUCUGAAUCCGUCGGCUCCUUGUGUGAAGUGGAGACCCAGCCCUACCUGA